RNAcentral lists this ribosomal RNA (433 nucleotides) under uncultured bacterium. RNAcentral's name for it is "bacterial SSU rRNA". It matches the Rfam family "Bacterial small subunit ribosomal RNA", at positions 28 to 478 of the family's 1533-position model. The record is from RNAcentral.
GAUGAACGCUGGCGGCGUGCUUAACACAUGCAAGUCGAACGAUUAAGACGGCUUCGGCCGUGUAUAGAGUGGCGAACGGGUGAGUAACACGUGACCAACCUGCCCCGCGCUCCGGGACAACCGCUGGAAACGGCGGCUAAUACCGGAUGCUCCGGGGAGGCCCCAUGGCCUCCCCGGGAAAGCCCUGACGGCGCGGGAUGGGGUCGCGGCCCAUUAGGUAGACGGCGGGGUAACGGCCCACCGUGCCCGCGAUGGGUAGCCGGGUUGAGAGACCGACCGGCCAGAUUGGGACUGAGACACGGCCCAGACUCCUACGGGAGGCAGCAGUGGGGAAUCUUGCGCAAUGGGGGGAACCCUGACGCAGCGACGCCGCGUGCGGGACGAAGGCCUUCGGGUUGUAAACCGCUUUCAGCAGGGAAGACAUAGACGGUAC